RNAcentral lists this ribosomal RNA (207 nucleotides) under uncultured bacterium. RNAcentral describes it as "partial 16S ribosomal RNA". It matches the Rfam family "Bacterial small subunit ribosomal RNA", at positions 568 to 774 of the family's 1533-position model. The record is from RNAcentral.
CGUGUAGGCGGCUUAAUAAGUCGGAUGUGAAAUGGCAGGGCUUAACCUUGUCAGGUCAUCCGAUACUGUUGAGCUAGAGUGCAGGAGAGGGGAGUGGAAUUUCCGGUGUAGCGGUGAAAUGCGUAGAUAUCGGAAGGAACACCAGUGGCGAAGGCGACUCUCUGGCCUGCAACUGACGCUGAGACGCGAAAGCGUGGGUAGCGAACA